UCCAUAUCGUUGAGGGCCUGAUCGAUAAAUGCCAAUUUCCUUGCCUGGCUCUUGGGGAUUCCAUGUUUUGUAACAAGAGCCAGGUGAGUCACAGCUAAAACUAAAGCAGCAACUCUUGCUUCCAGCAAACGGGCAUCCAAAGAUACCGUUGCCCAUUGUCUAACGGUUUAUCUUUUGUUGAAAUUUGGACAUACGUCAACGAUCUCCAGGGGCACAGUAUUGCUGUUCACUGUUCCAGCGAUUGCUGUAAGACUGGCAGCCAAGGAAUGGCAGGAUCUAAGCACCGCUAUACAUGGUGGAGCCAAGCCAGUCGCAUCGUCAACCCACCUUUGGAAAAUUGUGAUAUUUGAAAGACAAAUGAAUUGGGAAGUCGGAUGAUUAAAUGCAUGAAUAGAA
Molecule: long non-coding RNA, 396 nt
Organism: Athalia rosae (coleseed sawfly)
Lineage: Eukaryota; Metazoa; Arthropoda; Insecta; Hymenoptera; Athaliidae
Exons: 2
Source: RefSeq, a predicted model, not a curated record